This is a long non-coding RNA of Corythoichthys intestinalis (scribbled pipefish), 1401 nucleotides long. RefSeq lists it as uncharacterized. The transcript has 6 exons. Lineage: Eukaryota; Metazoa; Chordata; Actinopteri; Syngnathiformes; Syngnathidae. The record is from RefSeq and is a predicted model, not a curated record.
GAAUGUUGCCAUGGCAAACCCUGUCGUCUCAGAGUUAGAUCUUGCUUAACCCCAGGAUUCCAAUUAACCACGCUCUAUUUAAACAGCACUCCUCCACGGACGUGUCCUCUUUCGCACUGUUGUAACUAUCCGCAGUUCCUCGACCCUUUUGGGGGUGGAUGACGUCAUUUUGCGUAUUCGGAUAUGUAGGAACUUGGACGAGGACCUCGUCUUCCGAACACUAUAUUAGCCCCAAAUCUGAAGUGAGUACUUUCCGCGGGGCCGCAGGAACGAUAUUACGUAGCUCUUUGGUGAUUCGCUGAAAUCAGCUGCAAACACGGCCCUUACUUUUCGCGCAUCACGUGGAGCCACCAUAUUUAAAAAACAACUACCCUGCCUGUAAAUUGUUGUUGUUGCUAGAAGGAAAAAUAAUGGAGCCAGAAAAAUCUCAAUGGAGCGACCAGGAGGUAAAAGCCCUCCUUGCUAUUUAUUCAACUGCGAACGUCCAAAGAGGACUUGGGGGGUCGCAACGCAACAUAAAAAUAUUUGCCGAGAUGUGCGCAUAACUGGAGGAGGCUAGGAUUUACCACAGCGCAAAACAAUGUAGGGAAAAAAUGAAGAAACUGAAACAAGACUACAAGAAAAUCAAAGACCACAACAACCAGAGCGGGGCAGACAGAAAAACUGGCAAAUGGUAUGAGACGCUCGACCUCAUAUUGGGCCACAGACCAGCAUAUGGAAACGCCAAAACAAAAGACUCCUCUGCUUCGCUUUUGCAGUCGUUGACACAGAAGGAGAACAACCCACCCUCCCAGCUGCUUGAAGAGCAAAACAGAUCUCUUCUAUCAAAUCCAAUUCCUGGUUCCUGCAGUACCCCUUGUCGCCCAUCAGAAACACCAUGCCCCCUUUGAGUGACAAACGCCAACCCGCAUCAGUGUACCCACCAGAAAACACCGUUGUGAUGUCCUGCCAUUCCCUGCCCCCACAAGGUGCCAGUACCAGUCAGCUUACUUACAUCAGUAGCUAUACACCGGUUCCCUGCUUGUCCAGAUUCACAAAUAAUCAGCCAACGCCGCCCAGCUGUCAGCACCCUCUGCCAUCCCAGACCUAUUGUUGCAGUCAAGAGGAGAAAGAAUGACACACUGUGCAACAACUGUGCAGGAAUGGCAGGCUUCAGACGCAGAAUACCAAAGGCAACGAGAUGCACAAUUUGACAGGAUGUUGUAGGUGUUUGAAGAGCAAAAUCAACACAUUGAAAAGCAGUGUCAGCCUCUGCUGUCUGAGUCCAGCCGGCAGCAUCAGAUAGCAAUGGAGGGUAUUCUGGACAUCAUUAACAGAAUAUCAAAUCGUCAUGACAAACCCUAAUUAAAAGAAAUGGGACUCAACCAAAUAUUGCACAUCUAAAUUUUUCUCUUGUUGCAU